Molecule: ribosomal RNA, 771 nt
Filed under: Arthrobacter sp.
Lineage: Bacteria; Bacillati; Actinomycetota; Actinomycetes; Micrococcales; Micrococcaceae
Description: bacterial SSU rRNA
Rfam family: Bacterial small subunit ribosomal RNA
Source: RNAcentral
AAUUCCUGGUGUAGCGGUGAAAUGCGCAGAUAUCAGGAGGAACACCGAUGGCGAAGGCAGGUCUCUGGGCAUUAACUGACGCUGAGGAGCGAAAGCAUGGGGAGCGAACAGGAUUAGAUACCCUGGUAGUCCAUGCCGUAAACGUUGGGCACUAGGUGUGGGGGACAUUCCACGUUUUCCGCGCCGUAGCUAACGCAUUAAGUGCCCCGCCUGGGGAGUACGGCCGCAAGGCUAAAACUCAAAGGAAUUGACGGGGGCCCGCACAAGCGGCGGAGCAUGCGGAUUAAUUCGAUGCAACGCGAAGAACCUUACCAAGGCUUGACAUGAACCGGUAAUACCUGGAGACAGGUGCCCCGCUUGCGGUCGGUUUACAGGUGGUGCAUGGUUGUCGUCAGCUCGUGUCGUGAGAUGUUGGGUUAAGUCCCGCAACGAGCGCAACCCUCGUUCUAUGUUGCCAGCACGUGAUGGUGGGGACUCAUAGGAGACUGCCGGGGUCAACUCGGAGGAAGGUGGGGACGACGUCAAAUCAUCAUGCCCCUUAUGUCUUGGGCUUCACGCAUGCUACAAUGGCCGGUACAAAGGGUUGCGAUACUGUGAGGUGGAGCUAAUCCCAAAAAGCCGGUCUCAGUUCGGAUUGGGGUCUGCAACUCGACCCCAUGAAGUCGGAGUCGCUAGUAAUCGCAGAUCAGCAACGCUGCGGUGAAUACGUUCCCGGGCCUUGUACACACCGCCCGUCAAGUCACGAAAGUUGGUAACACCCGAAGCCGGUGA